RNAcentral lists this long non-coding RNA (227 nucleotides) under Elaeis guineensis (African oil palm). RNAcentral describes it as "long non-coding RNA (EGUI_LNC065245)". Lineage: Eukaryota; Viridiplantae; Streptophyta; Magnoliopsida; Arecales; Arecaceae. The record is from RNAcentral.
UGGAUGCCCGUAGAGGUCGGACGUGUGUGCGACUGCCAAGCAUCAAGAAGAACCAUCUAUUAUAGAUUUUGGAUGCAGUGAUCUGCUACCCACAUCUAGGUAUGAAGUUUUGUAUUCAAUUAAUAUUUAGAUAUGAUCUAAAUAUAGAUUAGAUAUAUCCUGUACUUGCUGAAUUUUAGAUUUCAGAUGUGCAUACAUGCAUAUUAGUUCAUAUCAUAGAUCCUGUA